AUACGUAGGGUGCGAGCGUUGUCCGGAAUUACUGGGCGUAAAGAGCUCGUAGGUGGUUUGUCGCGUCGUCUGUGAAAUUCCGGGGCUUAACUCCGGGCGUGCUGGCGAUACGGGCAUAACUUGAGUACUGUAGGGGAGACUGGAAUUCUUGGUGUAGCGGUGAAAUGCGCAGAUAUCAGGAGGAACACCGGUGGCGAAGGCGGGUCUCUGGGCAGUAACUGACGCUGAGGAGCGAAAGCAUGGGUAGCGAACAGGAUUAGAUACCCUGGUAGUCCAUGCCGUAAACGGUGGGCGCUAGGUGUAGGGGUCUUCCACGACUUCUGUGCCGUAGCUAACGCAUUAAGCGCCCCGCCUGGGGAGUACGGCCGCAAGGCUAAAACUCAAAGGAAUUGACGGGG
Molecule: ribosomal RNA, 398 nt
Filed under: uncultured bacterium
Lineage: Bacteria
Description: partial 16S ribosomal RNA
Rfam family: Bacterial small subunit ribosomal RNA
Source: RNAcentral